This 324-nucleotide non-coding RNA is filed under the name Leersia perrieri. Its description in RNAcentral is "Bacterial small subunit ribosomal RNA". It matches the Rfam family "Bacterial small subunit ribosomal RNA", at positions 130 to 396 of the family's 1533-position model. Lineage: Eukaryota; Viridiplantae; Streptophyta; Magnoliopsida; Poales; Poaceae. The record is from Rfam by way of RNAcentral.
CAUCUCUACAUCUGCGGGCCGGUAGGCCACCCAAUCCUGCGAGAUCCUCGGCGUUAUCCUCCGCGAAGUGGUUGCUCCGGGACGAGGUAGCAUCAAUGCUUCUUAAAAGAGCGCCAAUAUGAUUUGGUAAUCCAAAACCAAGGCCAAGCAUCAUUUUUCCUCCGUUGUGAGGGAGCUCUCUUUGGGAAGAGUUCCUGGAGCCCCCCUCCCAGUAGCUGGUCCGAGAGGAUGAUCAGCCACACUAGGACUGAGACACGGCCCAGACUCCAAUGGGAGGCAGCAGUGGAGAUUUUCUGCAUUGGGUGAAAGCCUGAUGAAGCAAUG